GACGAACGCUGGCGGCGUGCUUAACACAUGCAAGUCGAACGGAAAGGCCCUGCUUUUGUGGGGUGCUCGAGUGGCGAACGGGUGAGUAACACGUGAGUAACCUGCCCUUGACUUUGGGAUAACUUCAGGAAACUGGGGCUAAUACCGGAUAGGAGCUCCUGCUGCAUGGUGGGGGUUGGAAAGUUUCGGCGGUUGGGGAUGGACUCGCGGCUUAUCAGCUUGUUGGUGGGGUAGUGGCUUACCAAGGCUUUGACGGGUAGCCGGCCUGAGAGGGUGACCGGCCAAAUUGGGAAUUAGAUACGGCCCAGACUCCUAAGGGAGGCAGCAGUGGGGAAUAUUGCACAAUGGGCGGAAGCCUGAUGCAGCAACGCCGCGUGCGGGAUGACGGCCUUCGGGUUGUAAACCGCUUUCGCCUGUGACGAAGCGUGAGUGACGGUAAUGGGUAAAGAAGCACCGGCUAACUACGUG
RNAcentral lists this ribosomal RNA (468 nucleotides) under uncultured bacterium. Its description in RNAcentral is "partial 16S ribosomal RNA". It matches the Rfam family "Bacterial small subunit ribosomal RNA", at positions 28 to 507 of the family's 1533-position model. The record is from RNAcentral.